AUCCGUAGGGGGCAAGCGUUAUCCGGAUUUACUGGGUGUAAAGGGAGCGUAGACGGCGAAGCAAGUCUGAAGUGAAAGGACGGGGCCCAACCCCGGAACUGCUUUGGAGACUGUUUGGCUGGAGUGCGGGAGGGGUAAGCGGAAUUCCUAGUGUAGCGGUGAAAUGCGUAGAUAUUAGGAGGAACACCGGUGGCGAAGGCGGCUUACUGGACCGUAACUGACGUUGAGGCUCGAAGGCGUGGGGAGCAAACAGGAUUAGAUACCCUGGUAGUCCACGCGGUAAACGAUGAUCACUAGGUGUCCGUGGGUAUGACCCAUGGGUGCCGCAGCCAACGCAAUAAGUGAUCCACCUGGGGAGUACGUUCGCAAGAAUGAAACUCAAAGGAAUUGACGGGG
Molecule: ribosomal RNA, 396 nt
Filed under: uncultured bacterium
Lineage: Bacteria
Description: partial 16S ribosomal RNA
Rfam family: Bacterial small subunit ribosomal RNA
Source: RNAcentral